Molecule: unclassified non-coding RNA, 333 nt
Filed under: soil metagenome
Description: partial contains 5.8S ribosomal RNA, internal transcribed spacer 2, and large subunit ribosomal RNA
Rfam family: 5.8S ribosomal RNA (bases 1-120)
Source: RNAcentral
GAUGAAGAACGCAGCGAAAUGCGAUAAGUAGUGUGAAUUGCAGAAUUCAGUGAAUCAUCGAAUCUUUGAACGCACAUUGCGCCCCUCGGUAUUCCGUGGGGCAUGCCUGUUCGAGCGUCAUUUACCCCUCAAGCACUGCUUGGUGUUGGGCGUCUGUCCCGCUUCGCGCGCGGACUCGCCCCAAAGGUAUUGGCAGCGGUCGUGCCAGCUUCUCGCGCAGCACAUUGCGCUUCUCGAGGCGGUCGAUCGGCGUCCACGAAGCUCACCUCGACCGUUUGACCUCGGAUCAGGUAGGGAUACCCGCUGAACUUAAGCAUAUCAAUAAGCGGAGGA